This is a long non-coding RNA of Cryptotermes secundus, 1340 nucleotides long. RefSeq lists it as uncharacterized. NCBI's taxonomy places the organism in Eukaryota, Metazoa, Arthropoda, Insecta, Blattodea, Kalotermitidae. The record is from RefSeq and is a predicted model, not a curated record. The transcript is spliced from 3 exons.
GGAAGAAAAGUGGUAGGAAUUGGAAGUAAAUUGUAAAAUUAGUAAAUAGUGCACCACUAAUACUAAAUACAUAUAUAAUUGUAUGCUAUGUAAUACCGUAUAAUUUUUUUUAAAGUAACUGAUUUAAUAUGACAAGGCUAUCUAGACCAGAUGGGCAGAGUUUGCUCCUAAGGUGAUUCACUAUAACGUUGCAUGGAAGAUCACAGACUUUUAUUUAUGGUUAUCCCUCUUGAGAAAAAAGUUUCGUUAGGGCUGAUGAAGUAUUUGCUUCAAAAAAAAAAAAAACUUUCAUUUAAUUAUGAAGUGAGGGUCUAUUAUAUUCGCAUUUCUUUCGUCAUGGGGUCCUCUUCUUCCUUGUCCAAACACUGCAAGUGGGCAGGCUUUACGAUCAAGGUUGUGGAAUGAGCCAAUGAGAAAAUCAAGCGUACACUGGUGUGCAGCUUGGAAAAUUUCCAGUGGUGCAUGGAAUCUUGUUUUGUAGGCACUACAAUUUCAAAAGGUGGGUGUCUGCUGCUAAUUCCCAGGCAGGACAAGCAUAAGUCAUUACUGAUCUGAUCAAUGCAUUAUGGAGGGUUAUUUUAAUGUUGGCACUUAAACACUCGCUUUUGAAUAGGGAGUCGAUUCUAAUAAAUGUUCUGAAGGCCCUGGCUGUGCCGUCUCCAUGUAACCUCAUAUCGAAGAUUACACCCAGAGAUUUUACAUGAUUCAUGAAGGGGAUGUUCUGUCCAUUCAAUGUAAGAUCAUUAGGGGACCUAAGUCUGUGAGAAAAAUAGAGGGCCUCAGUCUUAUCGUCAUUGAUUUUCAUGUUCCAGCACUCGCACAAUAUCUCAACAGCACUGAUACCUUGCAGCAGCCUCCUGAGAACAUAACCCUCUUUGCAGUCUCUCGCAUAUAUACAGGUGUCAUUAAUAAAGAGACCUAAAUAGACACUAGGUGUUCGGGGCGUAUCGUUCUGUGGGUGUGUAUACUGUAGAAUGUGGGGAACAGGUGGAACCUUGUGGCUCCCCUGCUUAUAUAUCUCUUGAUGCAGACAUUUCAUCUUCAGCAAAGAACAAUUUUCCCUGACAAAGGAGAGAGCUAAUAAGCUCGAUCAGAGUGACCGAAAAUUUUAAGUUACUUCAUAUAACAAGUCAAGUUUCCAUGUUGUAUAAAGGCCUUUUCAGUAAUCAAGGAUACCGCAGAUGUAGACAUGUUACUGUUGAAAUUUACACUGACAUGGUCCAUAAGCAUUAUACACUGAAGUGCCAUGUUGUGGCAGGCACAGACACCAAACCAGCUUGCAUUAACUCUUUGACUGGCGCGAAGGGUAUUUAAAUCCCACCCCUGUCCUGGCAGGCCCU